AUUUAUUGGUGUCUAAAGAAAGCAACGGGGGGACCCCCACCUUACUUACCUGGCCAAUUUGAUUAAGCGAUCUUGAUAUUGAAAAACCCUAAUGUUGAAAACACUAUUAAGGACCUUCCUUCAUGCUAGGUUAAUGUUACAUCAUGAACUAUGACUAGUUUGUUGUGUUAACAUAAGGCUUGUCAUAAGGAUUGAUAUAACAUAAUCCUGG
This 211-nucleotide long non-coding RNA is filed under the name Elaeis guineensis (African oil palm). RNAcentral describes it as "long non-coding RNA (EGUI_LNC062501)". The record is from RNAcentral. Lineage: Eukaryota; Viridiplantae; Streptophyta; Magnoliopsida; Arecales; Arecaceae.